This 246-nucleotide unclassified non-coding RNA is filed under the name uncultured Endogone. RNAcentral describes it as "sequence contains ITS2". Lineage: Eukaryota; Fungi; Mucoromycota; Endogonomycetes; Endogonales; Endogonaceae. The record is from RNAcentral.
AAAGACAUCCAAAAUUUGGUUUGUUUUGCUAGUCAGACAGUUCUGAAUUAUUGGGAUUUGGGCUCUGCCGAAUUUUUGUUUGGCUGACCUUAAAUGAUUUAGCCAUAUCAUGAAAAGUUUUGGGCGAUAAGGCGUAAAUAUUUGGUACUCUUUCGUGUCCAUCCCUUUCGCUGAAGCCUGUAUAUUUUGUGAAAAUUUGGCUCAAUAAUAUGGAAAAUUGAAAAAAUAUAAUAUUUUCAACCAUUG